This 492-nucleotide ribosomal RNA is filed under the name uncultured bacterium. Its description in RNAcentral is "partial 16S ribosomal RNA". It matches the Rfam family "Bacterial small subunit ribosomal RNA", at positions 28 to 507 of the family's 1533-position model. The record is from RNAcentral.
GGUGAACGCUGGCGGCGUGCCUAACACAUGCAAGUCGAACGGCCGCACAGUAAGAUCUUGCCCUUACUGGUGGCGGCUGGCGGACGGGUGAGGAAUACAUCGGCAUCUACUUUUUCGGGGGGGACAACGUAGGGCAGCUUACGCUAAUACCGCAUACUAUGUACGGCAUGAAUCAGGGGAUCUUCACACCUUUCCCGUCUCAAUUAGCCGAUGUCGCAUUAGCUAGUUGGCUUGGUAAAGGCCCACCAAGGCGACGAUCCGUAGCUGAUCUGAGAGGAUGAUCAGCCACACUGGAACUGAGACACGGUCCAGACUCCUACGGGAGGCAGCAGUAGGGAAUAUUGGACAAAGGGCGAAAGCCUGAUCCAGCCACGCCGCGUGAGUGAAGAAGGUCUUCGGGUUGUAAAGCCCUGUUGUUGGGGAAGAAAAGCAGCAGGUUAAAAUCCCGCUGUUCUGACGGUACCUAAAGAAAAAGCAACGGCUAACUUCGUG